GGCGGAUGUAGCCAAGUGGAUCAAGGGGGUGGAUUGUGA
This 39-nucleotide transfer RNA is filed under the name Decalepis arayalpathra. RNAcentral describes it as "partial tRNA-His". Lineage: Eukaryota; Viridiplantae; Streptophyta; Magnoliopsida; Gentianales; Apocynaceae. The record is from RNAcentral.